UUUUUUUUGCAGGAAGCUGGAAGCCAUUCUCUUGAAGCCCAGCCCACAGACUGGUGUUCUGCACAUUCAAAGCAACUCUCCCCUUCAGGUCAAUCUUCACCAGAAACAUCCUUAAAGAUACAUCCAAAGGUUUCACAAAAGAGAGCCUCUGGAUAUGUCCGUUUCCUACCAUGGCAGAAAUGAUUAUAGCUGCAACAAACCCUCAGCAAUUUUAAUAAACUACUGUGAGAUCUGAAUGAAAUGUCAGAGCAUCUGGCACUAUUCAGUAAGGUCUCUGGAUAGAGGGCUCAAUCCUCCUUUGUGUUGUUCAAGUACCUGCAGAUGAGAGGUGCCAGUCUUUCCUUAUAUCAGACAUAGAUUUCUUCAGAGCUUCAAAACUGCUGAAAUAACCUGUGAUGUUUUAGAGGCUGCUACCUGGAAGGAUUUACUAUCCUCCAGGCAAAUAUAAUAAAGAUGUUCUAUGAUAUUCUUUGAAAAUCUAUAGAUUAAAUUUCUCAAUAAACAUACUGUAUGAGGGAUGGAAGUUCUUGUGCUCACGGCUUAGAUUCAUCUGUGAAUAGUGACCUCAACUGAGGAACUGUCUUCAUCAAGUUGACAUGUGUAAGCAUGCCUGUGGGGACUGGGUUUCCUUGAUCCUUUUUGAUGUAGGAGGGCCCAGCAUAUUGUGAGCAGUGUCAUCCCUAGGCAGGUGAUACUAGGGUGCAUUACAAAGUUAGCUAAAUAUAAGUUACUGAGAAACUCAGUAAGCCAUGUUUCUCUCUGGUUUUUGCUUCAAGUUGCUAUUUGACUUCUAUGAUGGACUGUAGCCUGUAAAUUGAAUAAGCACUUUCUUUCCUUGUG
Molecule: long non-coding RNA, 840 nt
Organism: Mus pahari (shrew mouse)
Lineage: Eukaryota; Metazoa; Chordata; Mammalia; Rodentia; Muridae
Exons: 7
Source: RefSeq, a predicted model, not a curated record